Molecule: ribosomal RNA, 466 nt
Filed under: uncultured bacterium
Lineage: Bacteria
Description: partial 16S ribosomal RNA
Rfam family: Bacterial small subunit ribosomal RNA
Source: RNAcentral
GACGAACGCUGGCGGCGUGCUUAACACAUGCAAGUCGAACGGAAAGGCCCAGCUUGCUGGGUACUCGCGUGGCGAACGGGUGAGUAACACGUGGGUGAUCUGCCCUCGACUCUGGGAUAAGCCUGGGAAACUGGGUCUAAUACCGGAUAUGACCUUACAUCGCAUGGUGUUUGGUGGAAAGCUUUUGCGGUUCGGGAUGGGCCCGCGGCCUAUCAGCUUGUUGGUGGGGUAAUGGCCUACCAAGGCGACGACGGGUAGCCGACCUGAGAGGGUGAUCGGCCACACUGGGACUGAGACACGGCCCAGACUCCUACGGGAGGCAGCAGUGGGGAAUAUUGCACAAUGGGCGCAAGCCUGAUGCAGCGACGCCGCGUGAGGGAUGACGGCCUUCGGGUUGUAAACCUCUUUCGCCAGGGACGAAGCGUGAGUGACGGUACCUGGAGAAGAAGCACCGGCCAACUACGUG